Molecule: ribosomal RNA, 881 nt
Filed under: uncultured organism
Description: SSU rRNA
Rfam family: Bacterial small subunit ribosomal RNA
Source: RNAcentral
CCUGGCUCAGGACGAACGCUGGCGGCGUGCCUAAUACAUGCAAGUCGAGCGGACCGACGGGAGCUUGCUCCCUUAGGUCAGCGGCGGACGGGUGAGUAACACGUGGGUAACCUGCCUGUAAGACUGGGAUAACUCCGGGAAACCGGGGCUAAUACCGGAUGCUUGAUUGAACCGCAUGGUUCAAUCAUAAAAGGUGGCUUUCAGCUACCACUUACAGAUGGACCCGCGGCGCAUUAGCUAGUUGGUGAGGUAACGGCUCACCAAGGCGACGAUGCGUAGCCGACCUGAGAGGGUGAUCGGCCACACUGGGACUGAGACACGGCCCAGACUCCUACGGGAGGCAGCAGUAGGGAAUCUUCCGCAAUGGACGAAAGUCUGACGGAGCAACGCCGCGUGAGUGAUGAAGGUUUUCGGAUCGUAAAACUCUGUUGUUAGGGAAGAACAAGUACCGUUCGAAUAGGGCGGCACCUUGACGGUACCUAACCAGAAAGCCACGGCUAACUACGUGCCAGCAGCCGCGGUAAUACGUAGGUGGCAAGCGUUGUCCGGAAUUAUUGGGCGUAAAGCGCGCGCAGGCGGUUUCUUAAGUCUGAUGUGAAAGCCCCCGGCUCAACCGGGGAGGGUCAUUGGAAACUGGGGAACUUGAGUGCAGAAGAGGAGAGUGGAAUUCCACGUGUAGCGGUGAAAUGCGUAGAGAUGUGGAGGAACACCAGUGGCGAAGGCGACUCUCUGGUCUGUAACUGACGCUGAGGCGCGAAAGCGUGGGGAGCGAACAGGAUUAGAUACCCUGGUAGUCCACGCCGUAAACGAUGAGUGCUAAGUGUUAGAGGGUUUCCCGCCCUUUAUUGCUGCAGCAAACGCAUUAAGCACUCCGCCUGGGG